This 465-nucleotide ribosomal RNA is filed under the name uncultured bacterium. Its description in RNAcentral is "partial 16S ribosomal RNA". It matches the Rfam family "Bacterial small subunit ribosomal RNA", at positions 338 to 795 of the family's 1533-position model. The record is from RNAcentral.
CCUACGGGGGGCAGCAGUGGGGAAUAUUGCGCAAUGGGCGAAAGCCUGACGCAGCGACGCCGCGUGAGGGAUGAAGGUCUUCGGAUCGUAAACAUCUGUCAGCAGGGAAGAACGGUCACUGUGCUAAUCAGCAGUGAAUUGACGGUACCUGCAAAGGAAGCACCGGCUAACUCCGUGCCAGCAGCCGCGGUAAUACGGAGGGUGCGAGCGUUAAUCGGAAUUACUGGGCGUAAAGCGUCCGUAGGCGGUAUGUCAAUUCAAGGGGGAAAUCCCCGGGCUCAACGUGGGAACUGCCUUUGAAACUGGCAAACUGGAGUGUGUGAGAGGAUAGUGGAAUUCCAGGUGUAGGAGUGAAAUCCGUAGAUAUCUGGAGGAACAUCAGUGGCGAAGGCGACUAUCUGGCACAUAACUGACGCUGAGGAGCGAAAGCGUGGGUAGCAAACAGGAUUAGAUACCCUAGUAGUC